UGGCGCUUGGUGUUGACCCAUCCUGCAGUCGAGCGGACAGAUGGGAGCUUGCUCCCUGAUGUUAGCGGCGGACGGGUGAGUAACACGUGGGUAACCUGCCUGUAAGACUGGGAUAACUCCGGGAAACCGGGGCUAAUACCGGAUGCUUGUUUGAACCGCAUGGUUCAGACAUAAAAGGUGGCUUCGGCUACCACUUACAGAUGGACCCGCGGCGCAUUAGCUAGUUGGUGAGGUAACGGCUCACCAAGGCAACGAUGCGUAGCCGACCUGAGAGGGUGAUCGGCCACACUGGGACUGAGACACGGCCCAGACUCCUACGGGAGGCAGCAGUAGGGAAUCUUCCGCAAUGGACGAAAGUCUGACGGAGCAACGCCGCGUGAGUGAUGAAGGUUUUCGGAUC
Molecule: ribosomal RNA, 400 nt
Filed under: Bacillus inaquosorum
Lineage: Bacteria; Bacillati; Bacillota; Bacilli; Caryophanales; Bacillaceae
Description: bacterial SSU rRNA
Rfam family: Bacterial small subunit ribosomal RNA
Source: RNAcentral